GAUCCUGGCUCAGGAUGAACGCUAGCUACAGGCUUAACACAUGCAAGUCGAGGGGCAGCAUUUUAGUUUGCUUGCAAACUAAAGAUGGCGACCGGCGCACGGGUGAGUAACACGUAUCCAACCUGCCGAUAACUCUGGGAUAGGCCUUUCGAAAGAAAGAUUAAUACCGGAUGGCAUAGGAUUAUCGCAUGAUAAUCCUAUUAAAGAAUUUCGGUUAUCGAUGGGGAUGCGUUCCAUUAGG
This 241-nucleotide ribosomal RNA is filed under the name uncultured bacterium. RNAcentral's name for it is "partial 16S ribosomal RNA". It matches the Rfam family "Bacterial small subunit ribosomal RNA", at positions 15 to 245 of the family's 1533-position model. The record is from RNAcentral.